Molecule: ribosomal RNA, 493 nt
Filed under: uncultured bacterium
Lineage: Bacteria
Description: partial 16S ribosomal RNA
Rfam family: Bacterial small subunit ribosomal RNA
Source: RNAcentral
GAGUGAACGCUGGCGGUAGGCCUAACACAUGCAAGUCGAACGGCAGCACAGUAAGAGCUUGCUCUUACGGGUGGCGAGUGGCGGACGGGUGAGGAAUACAUCGGAAUCUACUUUUUCGUGGGGGAUAACGUAGGGAAACUUACGCUAAUACCGCAUACGACCUACGGGUGAAAGCAGGGGAUCUUCGGACCUUGCGCGAUUGAAUGAGCCGAUGUCGGAUUAGCUAGUUGGCGGGGUAAAGGCCCACCAAGGCGACGAUCCGUAGCUGGUCUGAGAGGAUGAUCAGCCACACUGGAACUGAGACACGGUCCAGACUCCUACGGGAGGCAGCAGUGGGGAAUAUUGGACAAUGGGCGCAAGCCUGAUCCAGCCAUACCGCGUGGGUGAAGGAGGCCUUCGGGUUGUAAAGCCCUUUUGUUGGGAAAGAAAAGCAGCAGGUUAAUACCCCGCUGUUCUGACGGUACCCAAAGAAUAAGCACCGGCUAACUUCGUG